This 74-nucleotide transfer RNA is filed under the name Candidatus Blochmannia festinatus (nom. nud.). RNAcentral describes it as "tRNA-Met". It matches the Rfam family "tRNA". Rfam says of the family: Transfer RNA (tRNA) molecules are approximately 80 nucleotides in length. Their secondary structure includes four short double-helical elements and three loops (D, anti-codon, and T loops). Further hydrogen bonds mediate the characteristic L-shaped molecular structure. tRNAs have two regions of fundamental functional importance: the anti-codon, which is responsible for specific mRNA codon recognition, and the 3' end, to which the tRNAs corresponding amino acid is attached (by aminoacyl-tRNA synthetases). tRNAs cope with the degeneracy of the genetic code in two manners: having more than one tRNA (with a specific anti-codon) for a particular amino acid; and 'wobble' base-pairing, i.e. permitting non-standard base-pairing at the 3rd anti-codon position. The record is from RNAcentral. Lineage: Bacteria; Pseudomonadati; Pseudomonadota; Gammaproteobacteria; Enterobacterales; Enterobacteriaceae. RNAcentral also lists the same sequence under 2 other names.
GGCUACGUAGCUCAGUUGGUUAGAGCGCAGCACUCAUAAUGCUGAGGGCACAGGUUCAAAUCCUGUCGUAGCUA